GAUGAACGCUGGCGGCGUGCCCUAUACAUGCAAGUCGAGUGGGUUUAGACCCACGGCAAACGGGUGAGUAACACGUAGGUACUUUCCUUGUCACAGGAAUAACCCUCCGAAAGGAGGGCUAAUACCUGAUGUGAUCGCAAGAUUAAAGGGUAUCCGCAAGGAUUACCGGACAAGAAGAGGCCUGCGGCCUAUCAGCUAGUUGGCGGGGUAAAUGCCCACCAAGGCUAUGACGGGUAGCUGGUCUUAUGAGGAUGAUCAGUCACAUGGGCACUGAGACACGGGCCCAACUCCUACGGGAGGCAGCAGUAGGGAAUUUUGCGCAAUGGGCGAAAGCCUGACGCAGCGACGCCGCGUGCGGGAUGAAGGCCUUCGGGUCGUAAACCGCUUUUAUAAGGGACGAACUUUGACGGUACCUUAUGAAUAAGGGGUUGCUAACUCUGUG
Molecule: ribosomal RNA, 442 nt
Filed under: uncultured bacterium
Lineage: Bacteria
Description: partial 16S ribosomal RNA
Rfam family: Bacterial small subunit ribosomal RNA
Source: RNAcentral